AUUGAACGCUGGCGGCAUGCUUUACACAUGCAAGUCGAACGGUAACGGGCCUUCGGGUGCUGACGAGUGGCGAACGGGUGAGUAAUGCAUCGGAACGUACCCAGAGGUGGGGGAUAACGCAGCGAAAGCUGUGCUAAUACCGCAUGUGAUCUGAGGAUGAAAGCGGGGGACCGAGCAGCAAUGUUUGGCCUCGCGCCUUUGGAGCGGCCGAUGUCGGAUUAGCUAGUUGGUGGGGUAAAGGCCUACCAAGGCGACGAUCCGCAGCUGGUCUGAGAGGACGACCAGCCACACUGGGACUGAGACACGGCCCAGACUCCUACGGGAGGCAGCAGUGGGGAAUUUUGGACAAUGGGCGCAAGCCUGAUCCAGCAAUGCCGCGUGCGGGAAGAAGGCCUUCGGGUUGUAAACCGCUUUUGGCAGGAACGAAACGGUGUCCGCUAAUACCGGGCGCUAAUGACGGUACCUGCAGAAUAAGCACCGGCUAACUACGUG
Molecule: ribosomal RNA, 492 nt
Filed under: uncultured bacterium
Lineage: Bacteria
Description: partial 16S ribosomal RNA
Rfam family: Bacterial small subunit ribosomal RNA
Source: RNAcentral